RNAcentral lists this ribosomal RNA (964 nucleotides) under uncultured bacterium. Its description in RNAcentral is "bacterial SSU rRNA". It matches the Rfam family "Bacterial small subunit ribosomal RNA", at positions 1 to 926 of the family's 1533-position model. The record is from RNAcentral.
UUAGAGUUUGAUCCUGGCUCAGGACGAACGCUGGCGGCGUGCCUAAUACAUGCAAGUCGAACGCGUCCCGGUUGAUGAAGUUGAGUGCUUGCACUUGAUUGAUUCAACUUGGUGACGAGUGGCGAACUGGUGAGUAACACGUGGGUAACCUGCCCCGAAGCGGGGGAUAACAUUUGGAAACAGGUGCUAAUACCGCAUAACAACCAAAACCUCCUGGUUUUGGUUUAAAAGACGGCUUCGGCUGUCACUUUGGGAUGGACCCGCGGCGUAUUAGCUAGUUGGUGAGGUAACGGCUCACCAAGGCGAUGAUACGUAGCCGACCUGAGAGGGUAAUCGGCCACAUUGGGACUGAGACACGGCCCAAACUCCUACGGGAGGCAGCAGUAGGGAAUCUUCCACAAUGGACGCAAGUCUGAUGGAGCAACGCCGCGUGAGUGAUGAAGGGUUUCGGCUCGUAAAACUCUGUUGUUGGAGAAGAACGGGUGUCAGAGUAACUGUUGACAUCGUGACGGUAUCCAACCAGAAAGCCACGGCUAACUACGUGCCAGCAGCCGCGGUAAUACGUAGGUGGCAAGCGUUGUCCGGAUUUAUUGGGCGUAAAGCGAGCGCAGGCGGUUUUUUAGGUCUGAUGUGAAAGCCUUCGGCUUAACCGGAGAAGUGCAUCGGAAACCGGGAGACUUGAGUGCGGAAGAGGACAGUGGAACUCCAUGUGUAGCGGUGAAAUGCGUAGAUAUAUGGAAGAACACCAGUGGCGAAGGCGGCUGUCUGGUCUGCAACUGACGCUGAGGCUCGAAAGCAUGGGUAGCGAACAGGAUUAGAUACCCUGGUAGUCCAUGCCGUAAACGAUGAGUGCUAAGUGUUGGAGGGUUUCCGCCCUUCAGUGCUGCAGCUAACGCAUUAAGCACUCCGCCUGGGGAGUACGACCGCAAGGUUGAAACUCAAAGGAAUUGACGGGGGCCCGCAC